RNAcentral lists this long non-coding RNA (3554 nucleotides) under Sus scrofa (pig). Its description in RNAcentral is "lncRNA (ENSSSCG00045018263.1)". Lineage: Eukaryota; Metazoa; Chordata; Mammalia; Artiodactyla; Suidae. The record is from RNAcentral.
GAAAAUUUCUUUUUUUCUGAUCUGUGUUUCAGUCUCACCAGCGAUUUAUGGAGUUGGCUCUUGGUUUUACAAAGUGCUUCAGUUUUUACAUUGAAAGGCCAGACAUGAUCACACUGGAACACCAGUUGUCCAGCUACAGAAGUUCUGACUUUCCGGGCAAGUCUUUUGAACUUUUAACUUGGUGAAAAUAGAGUCGUUGGCUUGCAUGCAGAAGUUGUCUUCUGGAAGUGAUCCAGGGCUUAGAGUAGUCAAUCCUGCCAUUUUCUCCAUCUUUCCAAGAUGUCACCACUGGAGUUCUGUCCACAACAGGGUUGAUUUGAGCUGCGAUGGUGUCCAGUGAAACAGGAAGUUCAGAGCUGAGAUUGAGCAAAACUGACAGGGAAGUCAAUUCACUGUCCCAAAUUGAUCAGAUUGGCUGGCAACUUGGGGAUUGCAGCCCAGCCAAAGCAGUUUGCCUUCUUGGUUCAUUCUGACAAACUAUAAAUCCUCCAAAACUGCUGGUAAGCUCGUGAAACCAAUUCGUUUUUGUUGCCAAUAUUAACAACUUUUUUUUGGAUUACUAAAGGAGACGACAUACUAAUCAACAGUCCAACACCAUCAAACUCUUCUGGCAGAUAUAAUAAAACCCUUUUUACAAUGACUGAUGAUGUUUUUGGAUCCUUCUGAAGUUUGAUUUUUUUUUUUAAAAAGGCAAGUUUCUCCACAGAGUCAGAAGGAUAUAAACUGGGCUGCCAGAGCUGAGCCAUCUUUGCUCCACAACAAGCAGGGCUCCCGGCAGACAUGUGCUUGGGGAGAAAGCAGACGCUCCCUUUGAUCUGUUAAAGUCUCUCCAGAAAUACACGAGGGCUGAUACCUUGUGUGCAGUCUCAGAGCAGAAACUCAAAGUUUUUGGAUGAUCCAAAGAAAGCAGCUCCUUCCAAAAAGAAAGCAAGUUUUAAAGAGGCAUGCAUUGGGCACAUUGUUGACAAAGUUCAAAUUCUCCACCUCAUUGCACAACCUUCCAUUUAGUUUUCUGGUAGAGGCGAAAGUUUAAAACAGUGGUGAGUCGUCUGUGGUCAGGAGCCUGCCUCGCUUCAACAAGCAUCAGGAAAUGUACUCCAUGUUGCUAUUUCUCAAAUAUGUACAAACAUCAGUGCUAAAUUUUUCAUCACAUGUCUAAUAAUAAUAUCAUUAGAAUUAUAAAAAGAAUAUUAAAAAUCAUACUAACAAUCAGCAUAUAUUACAUUUUACUCUGUGCCAGGCACGGUAUCAAGUGUCGAUGUGCCUAUCUUGGAGUUGGUAUUAUUAUUAGCCCCAUUUUAUAGAUGAGGACACCGAGGUUGAGAAAAAUAAUUUGCCCAAAGUUACGGAGUUAUUUAUUUAGCUUGGUAGAUCUAGUAUUUGAAUCCAGGCAGUGUAAAUCCAGAGCCUGAGAGCUUAACCUCUGAUAAAAGCUAACAUUAUGGAGCAUGCCCACCGUGUGCUAGGCAGCACUGUUCUGUGCUAUUAUUAUCACUUUGCAGAUAAGGAAAUAAAGUGGUAAAAAACUUGCCCAAGGUGACACUGCUAUCAAGGGUGGAGGUCAGAUUUAAACCCUGUCACUCUGAUCCUAGACUUUGAGCACUUAAUGUCUAAGUUUGUUCUACUGGUUAGAAUAUACAUAUUUCUUAUAGGAGUUAAUACAAGUAUUUUCAUUUUGAACUCUGAAAAGAUGGGAUCCGAAUUGCCUGGCCUUAAUCGGUUAUUCUAAGGAAAUGGCUGCCCUUCAUUGCUUAGGUAGUCUCAGGAUUAUUUUGCAGCCAGCUGGAUGGUUGGAUUUUUUUGCUGGUUUAUACUACCCUCUAGUGGUUCAUAGAAAAUUCUGAUGAUACGGCAAUUUGAUGACAAAGAAAUAGAAUGAGGUCUGUUAAGAGGAUUCCUUUGAAACAUAAAUGUAAGUCAUGAACAUGAAUUGAUAGUAUUUGUACUUUCAGUAUUUUCUGACUAAGAAAAAUACGUAAAGACAAAAAGCUACUAUGAAUUAAGUACCUCUUUAUGUGGAUAUAUUUUUAUUAAUGUCAAGAGUAUAGAUAUACAUGCAGAUAAGAUAUGCAUGCAUACGUGUGUGUAUAUGUGUGUGUUUGUGUGUAUGCAUCAUCCUGUUUCCAAUGUAUAGUUAUAUGUACCUAUAUGUUCACAUAGAUACAUAUAUACAUAAAUGUGUGUGAUUUAUUAAUAAUUUACAAGUCUUAGCUAUAGACAAUGUUUGGAGUACACUGAUGUCUUUGAAAGCCUCACGACAGCUCUUGAGCUAUCAUUUCAACCCAAUCACAAGCAAGGGGUUCUGAAUUAACACAAAAUCUUAGAUUAAUCAGAAUAUUCUCCAGCCAGGUAUAGGGUCUCCUUCCCUGGUGGUCUGUUUAAGAGGAAAUCCUGCUACAUGAGUACAUCACAGCCUUACUCAAGCCUCUCUUAUCCCCCAGUCUCCAACUCUGGGUGACCUUAGGAGGUGGAAGGGCAGUGGGAACAAUCUUUCCUUGGUACACAUAAAAGAUACACCAUUUAAAGAGAAUUUUAAAACAAUACAACCAACUUCAAAAUGGCCUGCUUUUUAUUAUCACCAUUAGCUGGCUAUUUUAUUUUAUUUUAUUUUAUUUUAUUUUAUUUUGCUUUUUAGGGCUGCACCUGUGGCCUAUGGAGGUUCCCAGACUAGGGGUCUAAUUGGAGCUACAGCUGCCAGGCUAUAUACCACAGCCACAACAAUGCCAGAUCCGAGCUGUGUCUGCGACAUAAACCACAGCUCACGGCAAUGCCGGAUCCUUAACCCACUGAGCGAGGCCAUGGUGGAACCCACAACCUCAUGGUUCCUAGUAGGAUUUGUUUCUGCUGUGCCAUGACGGGAACUCCCCAGCUGGCAAUUUUAAACACUGAGAAUGAUAACAUAAUUCUAAAAUUUUUUUUUGGUCUAAAUUCUAAACAACUACUUUGAUUUCUUUUCGUUUUAAUCACACAUACACAUUUGCAAUGAACACAUUUGUGUUACUUAUCCUCUCAUAAACAUUGUGUUCUUUAUUAUAGAAGUUAAUCUGGAGAAUUUCCAGUUAUGCAGUUGGCCUAUGACACAGGCCGACUAAGCUACCAGCUUUUUUUCAAGAGUAAGUUCAUGAUAAAUUGGAAUCAUUAAGCCUCAAUUUGGGUAUAGCUGACCCACAUAUUCCUGAGUCAAACUGUAGAUUUGAAAGAAUCAGUGAUAACACAGUGAUUAUAAAGAUAAACAAAAUUCAAUAACUUUAAUUCUGUCAUUCUCUAUAACCAGACAUAUUUGCAAACUGCCAGAAUCAACCUAGAACAACAUACAGUAAAAUGCUAUACUUUAGAAUUGUUCAUUGAAGGCUGGCAUGUAGAAAUUGUGGAGAAUACCAUUAACUCUGCAAAAAUAGAGCAUAAGGAAAAUGGACAUUCACAGAGUAAUGUUGGGAGAAACAGCAAAAGACUGGUCUUACAUUGCCAGAAGUAAUCAAGAGGACAAUGUUUAAAUGUUUCAAUCAUUUUCACUAAGAACUGGACCCUCAUUCUCAAAUAAAAGAUCAAAUGCA